AAAAGAAACUAACUAGGAUUGGUCCAGUAACGGCGAGUGAAGCGCCAUUAGCCCAUUUGUGAAUCAUCACUGCUUGUUAGUGUUGAAUUGUGGUCACACAAAUAAUAUUCAAUCAAUUAUGGAUGAAGUCCCCUGGAACGGGGCAGCGAAGAGGGUGAGACUCCCGUCCGUCUAUAAGAAAUGCAAAUAUUAUUAUUUUUAGAGUCGAGUUGUUUGGGAUUGCAGCUCUAACUGGGUGGUAAAUUCCAUCCAAGGCUAAAUACUGGUGGGAGACCGAUAGCGUACAAGUACCGUGAGGGAAAGAUGCAAAGCCGCGCGAAAGCGCUGUCAAAGAGUACCUGAACUUGCUGAAAAGGAAGCGAAGGAAACCAGUGUUAGCCAACCCGCAUUUUCUCCUUUGCUUGCGAUGGAGGCGCUGCGGCUGGCCUAGUCCCUGUGUGCGCCGUGUUGUGGAAGUGUCACUGCGCUGUGCAUGUG
RNAcentral lists this ribosomal RNA (477 nucleotides) under Entomoneis sp. Its description in RNAcentral is "eukaryotic LSU rRNA". It matches the Rfam family "Eukaryotic large subunit ribosomal RNA", at positions 57 to 518 of the family's 3401-position model. Lineage: Eukaryota; Bacillariophyta; Bacillariophyceae; Surirellales; Surirellaceae. The record is from RNAcentral.